Molecule: microRNA precursor, 84 nt
Organism: Chlorocebus sabaeus (green monkey)
Lineage: Eukaryota; Metazoa; Chordata; Mammalia; Primates; Cercopithecidae
Rfam family: mir-142 microRNA precursor family
Source: Rfam
CAGUGCAGUCACCCAUAAAGUAGAAAGCACUACUAACAGCACUGGAGGGUGUAGUGUUUCCUACUUUAUGGAUGAGUGUACUGU